Long non-coding RNA from Arvicola amphibius (Eurasian water vole), 2029 nucleotides. RefSeq lists it as uncharacterized. NCBI's taxonomy places the organism in Eukaryota, Metazoa, Chordata, Mammalia, Rodentia, Cricetidae. The transcript is spliced from 3 exons. The record is from RefSeq and is a predicted model, not a curated record.
CUGCACGCUGUCUCCUCGGGAGAUUGGAGACGGUUGCUCUGCAGCCACACAACCUCAGUUCCAAAGACAUUGCUAAUCUUUAAGGGGGAUUCAUCUCUGCUGCCAUGGGAUUUCAAGAUUGUUGGACUGAAAAACAACAACAAUUUAAAAAGUUCACACUUGAUCCAUAACUCAAGGGCCCUGGACCUGUGCGGUUGUCAACUAAAUAGAACAGAAAAUAUCGAUGCAAGUCAUCAAAGAGAGAGAAAAUAGGAGCAUGUCGAAUUCUUUCCUUUCUGAUGGACCACUGGAUGAACAGUGAGGAAAACAGGAAGUGCCAACCAUUGAUGAAACAAUCAAGAUUAUACUUACUUUUUGGUUGGCACUGUGCUCCGCCAUGAGGAAAUGAGUCAGCCUUCCUCUGGUCCCCAGAAACAAGUGGGGUGCAUUGUUCUCUCAGAAGACUGGAAAUCCAGCUCUCUCAGAGUCUUAUCUGCAUGAGCACUGGUCUCUGUGAUUAUCAUUUCCAGUGCUUUUAUAUAACAGCAAAAUUCAUCUUAAACUAGGAAAUUAGCCUCAAAACAUUCUACAGAUGGGAACUUAGACCCCAAAUCCAUGAAUUUUUCUCAAGAUGCAAAUGUACUAUUUCAUUUCAUUUUCAAGGCUGACCUUUCUCUCUUGUGCUUCAUCUUAGCAUCAUGGGUUGGUAAAUGUAUUCCAUUUUCUAUUGAUGUUGUAUUAUUAUUGCCAUAUUUCCAUAGCAGAAACUAUGAAGGAGGGAAAAGAGCAAAAAAUAAAAUUGAAGAAAGAAAGAAAAAUGCAGAAUAUCAGUCAGGCUUGACAAGUUUCCCCUAAGAAUAGAUUACCUAGUCUAAUGUUGUGGAAAAAUGACUGCUAUACAUCAGGAGAAGAGGUCAGGAAAUUAAACUUUAUGUGUCCUGUCUGGGGGAAAAAAAGGAGUUUGGCUGAAAAAUAGAAUCUUUCAUAUCUUGGUGAAAUUUUUGAAUGUUUCAUUUUUGUUUUGAAACAAACUGAAAACAAGGAAAGAAUAAAAAUAAUAAUAACUAACUUCACUGUAGAAGUGACAAGAAGUCACUUGGAGGUGUCUGCAAGGUCACAAUGGGUUGGUUACACAGGGACCAGAGAAUACGGCAGAAAGAUUAAAGACAGUCUUUGGCUUCUGUGAACAAGUUCUCUAUAAUCGGCUGUGGUGAACCUUAGUAAGGUAACACCUUAGAGGAACUGACCAAAGAACUGAAGAAAGAUUGUGACACAUAACUGGAGUGUAAGUUUUUCAAAAUAUUCUCCAUGUGAGGAAAACACCCAUCCUCUCUUCUUGGUGAUUUGACUUACCCGUCUGCCUCUCCCUUUUCUCUGAGUGGCUUCCUUCUUCACACCGUUGUCAUUCCUUUCCCUGUUUGCAUUUUAUGCUGCCAAUAAUUCUCAACUGGCAAGGAUAAUUAGUAUGCUCAUAGCCUCCACAUAAAUUUACCAUCAUCUAUUCAGUUAGGAAGUUUUAACUAUUGGUAGUUCCAUAGUGCCACAAGAUCCUUUAUUCCACGCCUAUUAAUAAUAUUCCUACCACAAACGUAUGCAAAAGUCUUAAUAAUGGGAAAAACUUACAACUUUUAAUAUUCUCAAUUCUACUUCAGUUUUCAUUUGGUAAUUUCCCUACUUUGGCUUUUGGCUUGGUAAAUGAAAGGUGAAAUCUGGCAUGCACUUCAUUCCUGACAGUCUCAUUUAUCAGGUUCUGCUCUGAGCUUAGAAAUCUAUUUGUUCCAGAAGGGCAAUAACUCCUUAAUAGUAAGCACCUGGCUUGCUUUCUUAUAAUCCUUGCUUCUCAUCAUUGUUAGCUAUUGUGCCCAGGAAUGUUUUCUGUCUUCCAUAACCCUGAAGUCUUCUGUAAAAUUUCCCCAUGAUCCUUUUCUUUUCUUUCUCCUGUCCUUCAAACUCGUUCAUUUCCCCUUUUCAACGGUGAACUAAACCAGGGACUAAUUGAAAUUAGUCAUUUUAGAAUUGAAAAUUGAAAUUAGUGAGUUACCAGGCGGCA